AAAUAGAUACCCCGGUAGUCCACGCCGUAAACGAUGUCGACUUGGAGGUUGUGCCCUUGAGGCGUGGCUUCCGGAGCUAACGCGUUAAGUCGACCGCCUGGAGAGUACGGCCGCAAGGUUAAAACUCAAAUGAAUUGACGGGGGGCCCGCACAAGCGGUGGAGCAUGUGGUUUAAUUCGAUGCAACGCGAAGAACCUUACCUACUCUUGACAUCCAGAGAACUUAGCAGAGAUGCUUUGGUGCCUUCGGGAACUCUGAGACAGGUGCUGCAUGGCUGUCGUCAGCUCGUGUUGUGAAAUGUUGGGUUAAGUCCCGCAACGAGCGCAACCCUUAUCCUUUGUUGCCAGCGGUUAGGCCGGGAACUCAAAGGAGACUGCCAGUGAUAAACUGGAGGAAGGUGGGGAUGACGUCAAGUCAUCAUGGCCCUUACGAGUAGGGCUACACACGUGCUACAAUGGCGCAUACAAAGAGAAGCGACCUCGCGAGAGCAAGCGGACCUCAUAAAGUGCGUCGUAGUCCGGAUUGGAGU
Molecule: ribosomal RNA, 529 nt
Filed under: uncultured bacterium
Lineage: Bacteria
Description: bacterial SSU rRNA
Rfam family: Bacterial small subunit ribosomal RNA
Source: RNAcentral